AGUGAACGCUGGCGGUAGGCCUAACACAUGCAAGUCGAACGGCAGCACAGUAAGAGCUUGCUCUUACGGGUGGCGAGUGGAGGACGGGUGAGGAAUACAUCGGAAUCUACUUUUUCGUGGGGGAUAACGUAGGGAAACUUACGCUAAUACCGCAUACGACCUACGGGUGAAAGCAGGGGAUCUUCGGAACUUGCGCGAUUGAAUGAGCCGAUGUCGGAUUAGCUAGUUGGCGGGGUAAAGGCCCACCAAGGCGACGAUCCGUAGCUGGUCUGAGAGGAUGAUCAGCCACACUGGAACUGAGACACGGUCCAGACUCCUACGGGAGGCAGCAGUGGGGAAUAUUGGACAAGGGGCGCAAGCCUGAUCCAGCCAUACCGCGUGGGUGAAGAAGGCCUUCGGGUUGUAAAGCCCUUUUGUUGGGAAAGAAAAGCAGCAGGUUAAUACCCCGCUGUUCUGACGGUACCCAAAGAAUAAGCACCGGCUAACUUCGUG
RNAcentral lists this ribosomal RNA (492 nucleotides) under uncultured bacterium. RNAcentral's name for it is "partial 16S ribosomal RNA". It matches the Rfam family "Bacterial small subunit ribosomal RNA", at positions 29 to 507 of the family's 1533-position model. The record is from RNAcentral.